Long non-coding RNA from Tympanuchus pallidicinctus (lesser prairie-chicken), 510 nucleotides. RefSeq lists it as uncharacterized. The transcript is spliced from 4 exons. The record is from RefSeq and is a predicted model, not a curated record. Lineage: Eukaryota; Metazoa; Chordata; Aves; Galliformes; Phasianidae.
AUUAAUUGGUCUUAAAAUUUGCUAUGUAGAGAGAUUUUAACAUAUUAUUAAACAGAACUAAUUUUAAUGAGUUCUCUGCAUAAUCCAACAUAACUUGUUGUAUGCUAAUAUUCAGUUUGCAAGAUUCCAGGUUUUCAUAGGUAUUCAUGGCUGAUGGUGUUGUAUUAUCUUAGUGCUUUGUCUAUAAUUACUACUGCUGUCCAUAAAGCAGGUUUAAGAGUUCUACCUCAGUCCAGAGAGAUUCUGUCUUCAUGGAACUAAGACAGGAGAUUCCUGCUUCUUUCUCAGUUAACUAAGGAUUCAUAAGAUACGUCCUCAGCUGAAGUUGGUGUGCACAAGUGACUUGCAGUGAGGGUAGUUAUGUCAGCUUGGUCCUCUGCCUGUUCCGCUGGCAAGCACUGCAGAUCCAGCUGCUGCUCCUUCCUGUUGGAUUGGUGGUUUAAGCUGCACUUUCCUUUUUGUGUAAGACCUCUUCUGAACAUAGACGAGAUGACCAUGUCUGCACAAAAG